AUUGAACGCUGGCGGCAGGCCUAACACAUGCAAGUCGAGCGGAUGAAGGGAGCUUGCUCCUGGAUUCAGCGGCGGACGGGUGAGUAAUGCCUAGGAAUCUGCCUGGUAGUGGGGGAUAACGUCUGGAAACGGGCGCUAAUACCGCAUACGUCCUGAGGGAGAAAGUGGGGGAUCUUCGGACCUCACGCUAUCAGAUGAGCCUAGGUCGGAUUAGCUAGUUGGUGGGGUAAAGGCCUACCAAGGCGACGAUCCGUAACUGGUCUGAGAGGAUGAUCAGUCACACUGGAACUGAGACACGGUCCAGACUCCUACGGGAGGCAGCAGUGGGGAAUAUUGGACAAUGUGCGAAAGCCUGAUCCAGCCAUGCCGCGUGUGUGAAGAAGGUCUUCGGAUUGUAAAGCACUUUAAGUUGGGAGGAAGGGCAGUACGUUAAUACCUUGCUGUUUUGACGUUACCAGCAGAAUAAGCACCGGCUAACUUCGUG
RNAcentral lists this ribosomal RNA (484 nucleotides) under uncultured bacterium. RNAcentral describes it as "partial 16S ribosomal RNA". It matches the Rfam family "Bacterial small subunit ribosomal RNA", at positions 30 to 507 of the family's 1533-position model. The record is from RNAcentral.